UAAUUUCUGCCCCUUCUACGAGAUCAUAUUUAUUUUUAAAAUCUUCUACGAUAUUAUUAAACGUACUGCUAUCAGAAUUUAGACACAACGUUGUUAAUAAAUCACUUUGAAUUUCCGGAAUAAAAACAUGUACUAAAAACGUAAAAAACAACACUUUUAAAGCAUUUAAUUUCAUCGUACGCAGGUGAUGUCGGAUCAGAAAAAAUGUAUAUCUACCCCGAAUAUAAUUGAUGUUACUCUAAUUUACCAUAAGUGUUCCUGUUUCAGUUGGUUUGUUACUAGUGGUAUCGAACAACACUUUUUGAAUACUCUAAUACUUAUAAUAUUAAUUUAAGAGCGGUAAUGAUUUUUACUGUUCAAAUAAUUUGGUACUUAUUCUGAAAGAUAUUUUUUCAACUUGUAAAUACUUGUUAUAGGUGCAGUUAGUAUGUUACUGGUAUAAUAAUGCUUGUAAUUUUAACUAACUUAAAAUGAUUUAUG
Molecule: non-coding RNA, 480 nt
Organism: Cinara cedri
Lineage: Eukaryota; Metazoa; Arthropoda; Insecta; Hemiptera; Aphididae
Source: the annotation of a GenBank genome assembly